This 510-nucleotide ribosomal RNA is filed under the name uncultured bacterium. RNAcentral's name for it is "partial 16S ribosomal RNA". It matches the Rfam family "Bacterial small subunit ribosomal RNA", at positions 28 to 507 of the family's 1533-position model. The record is from RNAcentral.
GACGAACGCUGGCGGCGUGCUUAACACAUGCAAGUCGAACGAAGAGCGAUGGAAGCUUGCUUCUAUCAAUCUUAGUGGCGAACGGGUGAGUAACGCGUAAUCAACCUGCCCUUCAGAGGGGGACAACAGUUGGAAACGACUGCUAAUACCGCAUACGAUCUAACCUCGGCAUCGAGGAUGGAUGAAAGGUGGCCUCUAUUUAUAAGCUAUCACUGAAGGAGGGGAUUGCGUCUGAUUAGCUAGUUGGGGGGGUAACGGCCCACCAAGGCGAUGAUCAGUAGCCGGUCUGAGAGGAUGAACGGCCACAUUGGGACUGAGACACGGCCCAGACUCCUACGGGAGGCAGCAGUGGGGAAUCUUCCGCAAUGGACGAAAGUCUGACGGAGCAACGCCGCGUGAGUGAUGACGGCCUUCGGGUUGUAAAGCUCUGUUAAUCGGGACGAAAGGCCUUCUUGCGAAUAGUUAGAAGGAUUGACGGUACCGGAAUAGAAAGCCACGGCUAACUACGUG